UGAGGAAUAUUGGUCAAUGGGCGUAAGCCUGAACCAGCCAAGUAGCGUGCAGGAUGACGGCCCUAUGGGUUGUAAACUGCUUUUUCGCGGGGAUAAAGAGGGGGAUGUGUCCCCCGUUGCAGGUACCGCGUGAAUAAGGACCGGCUAAUUCCGUGCCAGCAGCCGCGGUAAUACGGAAGGUCCGGGCGUUAUCCGGAUUUAUUGGGUUUAAAGGGAGCGCAGGCCGUAUGGUAAGCGUGUUGUGAAAUGCCGUGGCUCAACCAUGGCACUGCAGCGCGAACUGCCGUACUUGAGUACGCUGGAGGUAGGCGGAAUUCGUGGUGUAGCGGUGAAAUGCUUAGAUAUCACGAAGAACCCCGAUUGCGAAGGCAGCCUACCGUAGCGGCACUGACGCUGAGGCUCGAAAGCGUGGGUAUCGAACAGG
RNAcentral lists this ribosomal RNA (424 nucleotides) under uncultured bacterium. RNAcentral's name for it is "bacterial SSU rRNA". It matches the Rfam family "Bacterial small subunit ribosomal RNA", at positions 355 to 776 of the family's 1533-position model. The record is from RNAcentral.